Molecule: long non-coding RNA, 426 nt
Organism: Eurytemora carolleeae
Lineage: Eukaryota; Metazoa; Arthropoda; Copepoda; Calanoida; Temoridae
Exons: 3
Source: RefSeq, a predicted model, not a curated record
CUUAUAGAUCAUAGCCUGGUCUUCAAGAUGAUAACCCUUUCUAUUUUGUUCAUUUUCAUCACUGGCAUUGCUGGGGAGUGCUGUCAGUCAAGGAGCAUGCCUGAUGGGGAUACUUAUUCCUACCAUAAAACCAUGGAGCAAUCUACUCUUGGCAUGCCACCAGACUGUCUUGAUGGUUGCAUGUAUACUAAGGAUGGAGAUGUAUCAAGUAUUAAACUUUUUAUAAUUCAAUAAUUUUAACCCCUACAGGAAGAUAAAGCAAGGGACCAGGAAAAGAUCUUAGAGAUUGACACAUUAUCCUUUUUUUUUCUCCUUUUAACAAUCGUAUGUUCUAGACAUGUGAUAUUUCAACUAAAAUUCUCUGUGAUCAAAUAGUCCAUGUUAAAAAUAUCAAAUAUUCAUAUCAAAUAUUAUUUUUAAUUGUCA